CGUACGGGUGAGUAACACGUGGAUAACCUGCCCUUUAGUGGGGAAUACCGUUGGGAAACCGACGACAAUACCGCAUAAGCUCGAGAGAGGAAAGCAGCAAUGCGCUGAAGGAGGGGUCCGCGGUCGAUUAGCUGGUUGGUGAGGUAAUGGCUCACCAAGGCUGUGAUCGAUAGCCGGCCUGAGAGGGCACACGGCCACACUGGCACUGAAACACGGGCCAG
Molecule: ribosomal RNA, 221 nt
Filed under: uncultured bacterium
Lineage: Bacteria
Description: partial 16S ribosomal RNA
Rfam family: Bacterial small subunit ribosomal RNA
Source: RNAcentral